CAGCCGCCACGGUAAUACGGAGGGGGCUAGCGUUGUUCGGAAUUACUGGGCGUAAAGCGCACGUAGGCGGCUUGGUAAGUUAGAGGUGAAAGCCUGGAGCUCAACUCCAGAAUUGCCUUUAAGACUGCCGAGCUAGCAGGUGAGAGAGGUAAGUGGAAUUCCGAGUGUAGAGGUGAAAUUCGUAGAUAUUCGGAAGAACACCAGUGGCGAAGGCGGCUUACUGGCUCAUACUGGACGCUGAGGUGCGAAAGCGUGGGGAGCAAACAGGAUUAGAGACCCGCGUAGUCCCUGUCUCUUAUAA
Molecule: ribosomal RNA, 301 nt
Filed under: uncultured bacterium
Lineage: Bacteria
Description: partial 16S ribosomal RNA
Rfam family: Bacterial small subunit ribosomal RNA
Source: RNAcentral